RNAcentral lists this long non-coding RNA (244 nucleotides) under Hordeum vulgare. Its description in RNAcentral is "long non-coding RNA (HVUL_LNC006787)". Lineage: Eukaryota; Viridiplantae; Streptophyta; Magnoliopsida; Poales; Poaceae. The record is from RNAcentral.
AGAGAAUGAGAAACAUCAUCAAGCGUCAACUACUUUGCUAAGAGUAUGCAAAUUUUCUCCAAUGAGGCCCCAAACAACAAAGUACAAUAUAAUAAUUUGAUCAUCUGCUUACCAAUCUGACGAAUGAUUGUUGCUGAACCGUAUAUAACAAACAAUAAAAAUAGGAGAAAGAAGUGUUAGAACUCCAUCUUUCAGCUACUAUUUUACAUAUUCUUAUAGUGUGAACCUGCAUAUUCUAAUUAGG